UACAGAGGGGGCAAGCGUUGUUCGGAAUUACUGGGCGUAAAGGGCGCGUAGGCGGCCUUCUAAGUCGAACGUGAAAUCCCCGGGCUCAACCCGGGAACUGCGUCCGAUACUGGAAGGCUUGAAUCCGGGAGAGGGAUGUGGAAUUCCGGGUGUAGCGGUGGAAUGCGUAGAGAUCCGGAGGAAGACCGGUGGCGAAGGCGGCCUGCUGGGCAGUUACUGACACUGAGGCGCGACAGCGUGGGGAGCAAACAGG
This 253-nucleotide ribosomal RNA is filed under the name uncultured bacterium. Its description in RNAcentral is "partial 16S ribosomal RNA". It matches the Rfam family "Bacterial small subunit ribosomal RNA", at positions 524 to 776 of the family's 1533-position model. The record is from RNAcentral.